This 253-nucleotide ribosomal RNA is filed under the name uncultured bacterium. Its description in RNAcentral is "partial 16S ribosomal RNA". It matches the Rfam family "Bacterial small subunit ribosomal RNA", at positions 524 to 776 of the family's 1533-position model. The record is from RNAcentral.
UACGUAGGGUGCAAGCGUUGUCCGGAAUUAUUGGGCGUAAAGAGCUCGUAGGCGGUCUGUCGCGUCUGCUGUGAAAACUCGGGGCUUAACCCCGGGCCUGCAGUGGGUACGGGCAGACUAGAGUGCGGUAGGGGAGACUGGAAUUCCUGGUGUAGCGGUGAAAUGCGUAGAUAUCAAGAGGAACACCUGCGGCGAAGGCGGGUUGCUGGGCCGACACUGACGCUGAUGCGCGAAAGCUAGGGGAGCGAACGGG